GUUCUCGUGAGAGUUCCUAGUCGGU
Molecule: non-coding RNA, 25 nt
Filed under: Cricetulus griseus (Chinese hamster)
Lineage: Eukaryota; Metazoa; Chordata; Mammalia; Rodentia; Cricetidae
Source: RNAcentral